RNAcentral lists this ribosomal RNA (497 nucleotides) under uncultured bacterium. RNAcentral's name for it is "partial 16S ribosomal RNA". It matches the Rfam family "Bacterial small subunit ribosomal RNA", at positions 28 to 507 of the family's 1533-position model. The record is from RNAcentral.
GAUGAACGCUGGCGGCGUGCCUAAUACAUGCAAGUCGAGCGAACAGAUGAGGAGCUUGCUCCUCUGACGUUAGCGGCGGACGGGUGAGUAACACGUGGAUAACCUACCUAUAAGACUGGGAUAACUACGGGAAACCGGAGCUAAUACCGGAUAAUAUAUUGAACCGCAUGGUUCAAUAGUGAAAGACGGUUUUGCUGUCACUUAUAGAUGGAUCCGCGCCGCAUUAGCUAGUUGGUAAGGUAACGGCUUACCAAGGCAACGAUGCGUAGCCGACCUGAGAGGGUGAUCGGCCACACUGGAACUGAGACACGGUCCAGACUCCUACGGGAGGCAGCAGUAGGGAAUCUUCCGCAAUGGGCGAAAGCCUGACGGAGCAACGCCGCGGGAGUGAUGAAGGUCUUCGGAUCGUAAAACUCUGUUAUUAGGGAAGAACAAAUGUGUAAGUAACUAUGCACGUCUUGACGGUACCUAAUCAGAAAGCCACGGCUAACUACGUG